RNAcentral lists this ribosomal RNA (485 nucleotides) under uncultured bacterium. Its description in RNAcentral is "partial 16S ribosomal RNA". It matches the Rfam family "Bacterial small subunit ribosomal RNA", at positions 29 to 506 of the family's 1533-position model. The record is from RNAcentral.
AACGAACGCUGGCGGCGCGUCUUAACCAUGCAAGUCGAGCGGCAGGCAGCAAUGCCGAGAGCGGCGGACUGGUGAGUAACACGUGGAUAACGUACCCCGAUGUCCGGGACAGCCUGUAGAAAUAGAGGGUAAUACCGGAUAGAUCACUGUUUACGUGAGGUAGACAGCGGGAAAGGAGCUUCGGCUCCGCGACGGGAUCGGUCUGCGGCCCAUCAGCUGGACGGCGGGGUAAAGGCCCGCCGUGGCGAGGACGGGUAUCCGGCCUGAGAGGGCGGACGGACACAUUGGGACUGAGAUACGGCCCAGACUCCUACGGGAGGCAGCAGGUAAGAAUAUUCCGCAAUGGGGGGAACCCUGACGGAGCGACGCCGCGUGAACGAAGAAGGCCGGAAGGUUGUAAAGUUCUUUUCUGUACGAGGAAUAAGUUUCGGAGGAAAUGCCGGGACGGUGACGGUAGGGCAGGAAUAAGCACCGGCUAAUUACGU